GUCGAGCGAGCUGAAUUCAAAGAUUCCUUCGGGAUGAUUUGUUGGACCCUAGCGGCGGAUGGGUGAGUAACACGUGGGCAAUCUGCCCUAAAGACUGGGAUACCACUUGGAAACAGGUGCUAAUACCGGAUAACAACAUGAAUCGCAUGAUUCAAGUUUGAAAGGCGGCGCAAGCUGUCACUUUAGGAUGAGCCCGCGGCGCAUUAGCUAGUUGGUGGGGUAAAGGCCUACCAAGGCAAUGAUGCGUAGCCGAGUUGAGAGACUGAUCGGCCACAUUGGGACUGAGACACGGCCCAAACUCCUACGGGAGGCAGCAGUAGGGAAUCUUCCACAAUGGACGCAAGUCUGAUGGAGCAACGCCGCGUGAGUGAAGAAGGUCUUCGGAUCGUAAAGCUCUGUUGUUGGUGAAGAAGGAUAGAGGCAGUAACUGGUCUUUAUUUGACGGUAAUCAACCAGAAAGUCACGGCUAACUACGUGCCAGCAGCCGCGGUAAUACGUAGGUGGCAAGCGUUGUCCGGAUUUAUUGGGCGUAAAGCGAGCGCAGGCGGAAUGAUAAGUCUGAUGUGAAAGCCCACGGCUCAACCGUGGAACUGCAUCGGAAACUGUCAUUCUUGAGUGCAGAAGAGGAAAGUGGAACUCCAUGUGU
RNAcentral lists this ribosomal RNA (646 nucleotides) under Lactobacillus delbrueckii subsp. lactis. RNAcentral's name for it is "bacterial SSU rRNA". It matches the Rfam family "Bacterial small subunit ribosomal RNA", at positions 61 to 676 of the family's 1533-position model. Lineage: Bacteria; Bacillati; Bacillota; Bacilli; Lactobacillales; Lactobacillaceae. The record is from RNAcentral.